Pongo pygmaeus (Bornean orangutan) is the source of this 817-nucleotide long non-coding RNA. RefSeq lists it as uncharacterized. Lineage: Eukaryota; Metazoa; Chordata; Mammalia; Primates; Hominidae. The transcript has 3 exons. The record is from RefSeq and is a predicted model, not a curated record.
AGUAACGCAGAUUCCAAUGAUAAGAUGAGUGAGCAGGAUGCAAGAACAUCUUAAAGAUCACCUGCCGCACUUGUGUUUGAGGUGCUCAAUGGCUGUUUACACCAAGUGCCAUCUGGCUCUAUAGAUAUAAUAACAAUUAUUCCAUCGAGCAAUUUCGAGUGCAAGUGCCACAGUGUCAGCUAAAGAAACACAACUGCGGGUUUUCUGCCCAGCAAAAUGGUUCUGAAAUGUUACUGAAUAGCUCACAGAGGACGCCAAUCUACGACAACAGAGACAUAAGCAUAUAGGAGAAAGGGUCCACACAUCCUCCUUUCAAAGUGUGGAGAAAAGAGAGAGAAAGGGAGAGAAGAGUCAUGGACCCUACUUUAUGGUUGCCAUGGAUGCAAGGUCAGCCUUCCACCCUUGGAUCUACCAGCAGAGUUCAGACAGGUCAACGUGUGACCGGCUCAGGCCCUGGGGUUAAAAGUUCAAGCAGCGAUGGAAAAACCAAUAUGUCCACACAGAGUAUGCUGUACAAUUUAUUUCAAUUUACAUCAAGCCAUGCAUAUAAAAUUUAGAUAAAUUCCAUUCAGAUCUGAUGUUGCCUGACACACAAUGUAUGCAAACAGAUGUCUGUGGGGCUUUUUCUGUGCUUUAGAAAACAACAUUAAAUUUAAAAAUAUGUCUCUGGGAUUUCUUUAUUGAAUUACAAAAUGAACAUAAUUUUAACUUAAAUGUUUUCAUUCUUUCUUCCAAUUUUUUUGUGUGGGGGUCUUAAUAAUUUCUCAGUUCUCAAUCUACUCUAUGUCAUAUUAAAGAGGAUAAUGUAUAUUUACAA